RNAcentral lists this ribosomal RNA (253 nucleotides) under uncultured bacterium. RNAcentral describes it as "partial 16S ribosomal RNA". It matches the Rfam family "Bacterial small subunit ribosomal RNA", at positions 524 to 776 of the family's 1533-position model. The record is from RNAcentral.
UACGUAGGGUGCAGGCGUUAAUCGGAAUUACUGGGCGUAAAGCGUGCGCAGGCGGUCUUUUAAGUCAGAUGUGAAAUCCCCGGGCUCAACCUGGGAAGUGCAUCGGAAACUGAAAGGCUAGAGUACGGAAGAGGGUCUCGGAAUUCCCGGUGUAGAGGUGAAAUUCGUAGAUAUCGGGAGGAACACCAGUGGCGAAGGCGGAGACCUGGGCCGAUACUGACGCUGAGGUGCGAAAGCGUGGGGAGCAAACAGG